GCCUUCGUGUUGUAGUGGUCAGCACGCUCGACGCGUAACCGAGAGGUCCGUGGUUCGAUUCCCGGCGAAGGCU
Non-coding RNA from Stegodyphus mimosarum, 73 nucleotides. NCBI's taxonomy places the organism in Eukaryota, Metazoa, Arthropoda, Arachnida, Araneae, Eresidae. The record is from Rfam.